AUCCAAUUGACGAGUCCCAAAUAGGACGAAACGCGCGUCCAACUUGAU
Molecule: non-coding RNA, 48 nt
Organism: Schistosoma rodhaini
Lineage: Eukaryota; Metazoa; Platyhelminthes; Trematoda; Strigeidida; Schistosomatidae
Source: Rfam